This 273-nucleotide long non-coding RNA is filed under the name Salvia miltiorrhiza (redroot sage). RNAcentral describes it as "long non-coding RNA (SMIL_LNC010832)". The record is from RNAcentral. Lineage: Eukaryota; Viridiplantae; Streptophyta; Magnoliopsida; Lamiales; Lamiaceae.
GUAGGUGUAAAAUUUUUUGUGGGCCCCAUCUAAUUUAGGAGAUUUGCUGGAUGCAUUUUUUUUAUCUCAUUUUCAAUUAUUUUAGCCUAAAUUUAGAGUUAGUGAUGCAUUUAGGUGAUCUGCUGAGAGUGCUCUAAGAAUCAAGCCUCAUCAUAAUAUCAUUUGUGUGAACAGUGAGGUCCCGAGUUCAAACCCCACUGCUCCCCCUCCCAACUCCCCCAAGUAAAAAAACAAAAAUCCAAAAUGAAAAAUACCGAUAAAAGAAAAAGAAUA